This 83-nucleotide small RNA is filed under the name Marmota monax (woodchuck). The record is from RNAcentral. Lineage: Eukaryota; Metazoa; Chordata; Mammalia; Rodentia; Sciuridae.
GCUGGGCAUAGUAAUGCAUGCCUGUAAUCCCAGCAACUCAGGAGGCUGAGGCAGGAGGAUCACAAGUUCAAAGCCAGCCUCAG